AUUAGCCAUGCAUGUCUCAGUGCAAGCCGUAUUAAGGCGAUACCGCGAAUGGCUCAAUAUAUCAGUUUUGGUUCCUUAGAUCUUACUCAGUUACUUGGAUAACUGUGGUAAUUCUAGAGCUAAUACAUGCAAUCAGAACUCUGACCAGUGAUGGGAUGAGUGCUUUUAUUAGAUCAAAACCAAUCGACGGAGGGCUUCGCGUCUGAAGUCGUUAAUUUUGAUGAAUCUGGAUAACUUAUGUCGAUCGCAUGGUCCAGCACCGGCGACGCAUCUUUCAAAUGUCUGCCUUAUCAACUUUCGAUGGUAGUUUCUGCGACUACCAUGGUUGUCACGGGUAACGGGGAAUCAGGGUUCGAUUCCGGAGAGGGAGCCUGAGAAACGGCUACCACAUCCAAGGAAGGCAGCAGGCGCGCAAAUUACCCACUCCCGGCACGGGGAGGUAGUGACGAAAAAUAACGAUACGGGACUCUUACGAGGCCUCGUAAUCGGAAUGAGUACACUUUAAAUAUUUUAACGAGGAACAAUUGGAGGGCAAGUCUGGUGCCAGCAGCCGCGGUAAUUCCAGCUCCAAUAGCGUAUACUAAAAUUGUUGCGGUUAAAAAGCUCGUAGUUGCAUUUGUGCGCCGCGCUGUCGGUGCACCGCAUCCGCGGUGAUACUGACACGUCUGCGGAGCAUAUCGUCGGUGAGCCGGCGGUAAUACGCCGGUUCAAUAUCAAAAUCCUAUCGCGGUGCUCUUCGGUGAGUGUCGAGGUGGGCCGACAAUUUUACUUUGAACAAAUUAGAGUGCUCAAAGCGGGCUCAAAAUGCUGCUUGAAUAUUUCGUGCAUGGAAUAAUAGAAUAUGAUCUCGGUUCUAUUUUGUUGGUUUUCAGAACUCCGAGGUAAUGAUUAAUAGGGAUAACUGGGGGGCAUUCGUAUUGCGACGUUAGAGGUGAAAUUCUUGGAUCGUCGCAAGACGAACAUCAGCGAAAGCAUUUGCCAAAGGUGUUUUCAUCAAUCAAGAACGAAAGUUAGAGGUU
This 1019-nucleotide ribosomal RNA is filed under the name Odonestis pruni. RNAcentral describes it as "SSU rRNA". It matches the Rfam family "Eukaryotic small subunit ribosomal RNA", at positions 44 to 998 of the family's 1831-position model. Lineage: Eukaryota; Metazoa; Arthropoda; Insecta; Lepidoptera; Lasiocampidae. The record is from RNAcentral.